AUUGAACGCUGGCGGCAGGCCUAACACAUGCAAGUCGAACGAGUGGCGGACGGGUGAGUAAUGUCUGGGAAACUGCCUGAUGGAGGGGGAUAACUACUGGAAACGGUAGCUAAUACCGCAUACCAUAAGAUGUGCCCAGAUGGGAUUAGCUUGUUGGUGGGGUAACGGCGCACCAAGGCGACGAUCCCUAGCUGGUCUGAGAGGAUGACCAGCCACACUGGAACUGAGACACGGCCCAGACUCCUACGUGAGGCAGCAGUGGGGAAUCUUCGGCAAUGGACGAAAGCCUGACCGAGCAACGCCGCGUGAAUGAAGAAGGUUUUCGGAUCGUAAAACUCUGUUGUUAGGGAGGCGGUAUCUAACCAAGAAGCCACGGCUAACUCCGUGCCAGCAGCCGCGGUAAUAC
Molecule: ribosomal RNA, 406 nt
Filed under: uncultured bacterium
Lineage: Bacteria
Description: partial 16S ribosomal RNA
Rfam family: Bacterial small subunit ribosomal RNA
Source: RNAcentral